This 497-nucleotide ribosomal RNA is filed under the name uncultured bacterium. RNAcentral's name for it is "partial 16S ribosomal RNA". It matches the Rfam family "Bacterial small subunit ribosomal RNA", at positions 28 to 507 of the family's 1533-position model. The record is from RNAcentral.
GAUGAACGCUGGCGGCGUGCCUAAUACAUGCCAGUCGAGCGAACAGACGAGGAGCUUGCUCCUCUGACGUUAUCGGCGGACGGGUGAGUAACACGUGGAUAACCUACCUCUAAGACUGGGAUAACUUCGGGAAACCGGAUCUAAUACCGGAUAAUAUAUUGAACCUCAUUGUUCAAUAGUUAAAGACGCUUUUGCUUUCACUUAUAGAUUGAUCCGCGCCGCAUUAGCUAGUUGGUUAGGUAACGGCUUAACAAGGCAACGAUGCGUAGCCGACCUGAGAGGGUGUUCGGCCACACUGGAACUGAGACACGGUACAGACUCCUACGGGAGGCAGCAGUAGGGAAUCUUACGCAAUGGGCGAAAGCGUGACGGAGCAACGCCGCGUGAGUGAUGAAGGUCUUCGGAUCGUAAAACUCUGUUAUUAGGGAAGAACAAAUGUGUAAGUAACCAUGCACGUCUUGACGGUACCCAAUCAGAAAGCCACGGCUAACUACGUG